UUUGUUUUGGUUUAGUAGUCUGAGGAGGCUAACCAAAUUUGCAUAGCUACAUUUCUGUGUUCAACCGCAUGAUUGUAUCACUGUUAACGUCACAGAGGCAACGUCCAUGACAUAACACAUCUCAGGAAGUGGUAGUGCUCCACUUUGUUGGAGAAACUCCAUACUGAGGGUCAUUGCAGACGGUUUGCUCAUUUCACGGAGGGCAGAGAGAUGGCAAGAGGAACUCUACCACCUAUCUUCGGUAUCCCGAGGAAGCGCAAAGUGUCUGAAAUGGAGGAGACAUAAUAUUUAUCUUUUCUCUAUUUCUUUAUUUUUUAUUGGUUUGUCUGAAGAGAAGAGCAGAUAAUAAAAUGUAUAAUAAUGGAUACCAAUUCCAAGAAACAUAUUAUUUGAAUCGAAAUGAAAUCAUAUAUUGCUGGUUAUUAAGCACACAAUAUACACCGUAAGAAAAUAAAAUGGAGACUUCACAUUUAAUAAAGACUAAUGGGGAAAGUUAAUUUCAAAAUCGA
Molecule: long non-coding RNA, 509 nt
Organism: Gadus morhua (Atlantic cod)
Lineage: Eukaryota; Metazoa; Chordata; Actinopteri; Gadiformes; Gadidae
Exons: 3
Source: RefSeq, a predicted model, not a curated record